UGCAUAGACCUGCAAUAUGACAACCACCCAUCCAUGAAGAAACGCUCCGCAGGAAGAUGGUUGAGGAGGAUGGGAGGAACACAAAAUGCAGGAUCUUACCACCAGAACCUCCGGUUAGCGUCCAGAUUCCUGUCUUGAGUUAAAGCAACAAAAGCACCAAGAAACAGUCACCAGCCCACGGACAAGCUCCACGCCGCUGCCCUCAGGGAUGUGUCAACA
Molecule: long non-coding RNA, 219 nt
Organism: Plectropomus leopardus (leopard coralgrouper)
Lineage: Eukaryota; Metazoa; Chordata; Actinopteri; Perciformes; Serranidae
Source: RefSeq, a predicted model, not a curated record